This 494-nucleotide ribosomal RNA is filed under the name uncultured bacterium. Its description in RNAcentral is "partial 16S ribosomal RNA". It matches the Rfam family "Bacterial small subunit ribosomal RNA", at positions 28 to 507 of the family's 1533-position model. The record is from RNAcentral.
GACGAACGCUGGCGGCGUGCUUAACACAUGCAAGUCGAACGGAAAGGCCUGCUUUCCCUUGUGGAUUGCGGGUACUCGAGUGGCGAACGGGUGAGUAACACGUGAGUGAUCUGCCCCCAACUUGGGUAUAAGCCUGGGAAACUGGGUCUAAUUCCCGAUAGGACUGUAGGGUGGUGCCUUUGGUGGAAAACGAUUUUCUAGUGUUUGGGGAUGAGCUCGCGGCCUAUCAGCUGGUUGGUGGGGUAAUGGCCUACCAAGGCGGCGACGGGUAGCCGGCCUGAGAGGGUGGACGGCCACAUUGGGACUGAGAUACGGCCCAGACUCCUACGGGAGGCAGCAGUGGGGAAUAUUGCACAAUGGGCGGAAGCCUGAUGCAGCGACGCCGCGUGGGGGAUGACGGCCUUCGGGUUGUAAACUCCUUUCGACCGCGAGGAAGCCACCUGGUUGGAAGGGUGGUGACGGUAGUGGUAGAAGAAGCACCGGCUAACUACGUG